Molecule: long non-coding RNA, 1194 nt
Organism: Lycium barbarum (goji berry)
Lineage: Eukaryota; Viridiplantae; Streptophyta; Magnoliopsida; Solanales; Solanaceae
Exons: 3
Source: RefSeq, a predicted model, not a curated record
UGAACGUCGGAUUAAUUGUAAGUUGAGGUGGGGCCCACACGUCAAGAUUUUUUUUGGGACAUGUGACAAAUUAUAUGAAUCACAUAUGUGAAGUUAAACACAACUCAAGAAGGACCCUUGGGCCAAAUCAAAGUGGAAGUCCUCCAAACGAAUAUUUUUAAGAAAACGUUUUCGGGUAACCUGACUUUGGGGGGCAAAAACGAUAUUAUAAGUUUGGAAUUUGGAAAAGUACCAAGAAAUAGAAGUUGUAGAUAAUUGAAUUAGCUUUCCAUCCAUAGGUCGUGGGUUCCCAGGUGACGUCGGUACAAGGAGAUAUGGACGUUUUAAGGCAGAAAGGUCAGUGGGCUAGGCCCAAUCCGAGCCCAACCGGGUUAGGCCCAUUACCCAUGUCCUUAUAAGUGCCAAUUUCGGCCUUCUUCAUCAUUUUAACACCAGGAACAACCAGAAAAUUCUGGAAAGAGAGAGAGGAGCUUUGGAGAGAAAAAAAAACAAUUUUGACCAAAAUCCGAGCCCCGAAUCCCGAAGCCCAUGAAGGGAAAAGUGUUGUACGCUACGUUGUCUUCAAUUUGAGCUAAAAAUCAACCAAAGAGGAGAGUGAUGACGUGGUGGCUGCCUACUUAAGAUUCGGAGUGAAACGGGAUUUGAGUUUUGGCGAACGUAAGACGCAUAUAAGGUACCGACGACAGGUUUGCUGAGCCGUCCGCUUAGGAUCUUAUUCUCCUAUUUUGGAGAGCUCUCUUAUCCAGAGCCCAUCUUUUGGUAUAGUCUGUCACUACUGUAUAUAUAUAUAUAUAUUCUCGUUCAUGGGUAUGGCGGGGCCCUGUCCCGUCAUAUGAUUCUGUCGGUCUGUUUAGAGGUCUGUGGACAUGUUUGUGGGUUAGGGUCUUUCUGUAUGGAUGUAUGUACAUGUCGUUUGGGCGAUCCCAUACGCCGAGGCGGCCGGUCCGCGUAUGUUUAUAUAUUGCUUGGUUAGCCCUGUGUGGCUUUUGUUGGUAUUUUCUGCGUGCAGGGUAUAUUGGAUAGUCCGUAAAACAAAGGAAACUCUGUCGAAAUUUUUCUGGAAAUUACCUAAAUUUGAAAUAAAGCCUUGUCGGCUUCCGCCAUAUACUAGAAUGAGUUGAUAGAAUUUGAGAUAAUAUUUGAUAGAUGGGUUCGGGUGCCCAGAUCGGGCACUAGUCACGGCCGACGGGGUUG